Triticum urartu is the source of this 1985-nucleotide long non-coding RNA. RefSeq lists it as uncharacterized. NCBI's taxonomy places the organism in Eukaryota, Viridiplantae, Streptophyta, Magnoliopsida, Poales, Poaceae. The record is from RefSeq and is a predicted model, not a curated record.
UACACAAAUGACCAAAAAGGCUAUUUUUGAUUAAAAAAAUGAACUGGACAACGCCCAAUGCUACAUCUGUAAUUAUGACUUUACCAAAAGGACUAAAAACCAACUCAAAAAGAAGAAAAAUGAAAAAGCCUAAAAAAGAGGACACACUUGACUCUUCCUCUCAGUUCUCCACACCUCGUCACCUACCUUCACUACCCUUAUCACUUCACUGUGUCCCCACUUCUCCCUGUGGCCACAAGCCCACAACUCUCUCUCUACCUCCUCAGGUUGCCCCUCCUCUUCGUCUCCACUACCGACGCGAGGUCUUGCACCCCCUCUCCCCACUCUUCUCAGCACUUCCUCGCCGAAUCGGUCUCUGAAGUGCCCGAGUAUCCGCUUGAGCUCGGCAUGCUCGCUAGCCGACCCAGUGCUAGGCGUGGAUGAAGGCCGACGCGGAGGCACGGGACUCGUCUCCACCAGAUCAGCGGCCAUGGCAAUCGUGCAUCCGAAGCUCCGCGGCCCGGCACCAUGCCUUCCUCUCUGUCUCGCUCGCCCGGCGCUUGGAGCGUCUGCUCGUCGUCGGCUCUCACCACCCUGUGCGUGCGGCUGUGCUGUGCCCGGCCCUGCCCAGGUGCGGCAAUAGUGCCGUGGUGGCUGGUCCCCUGCAACUGCAAGCCGACGCCAAUUAAUGAUCUAUUCCCCACUCCAGCUUUCAUAUCUGCUUAGUUCUGAUUUGAGGUACUCCCCAUUCCCCACUUUUGCUAAUUCCUUUUUUUGGCGAAACACUUUUGCUAAUUCCUAGUUGCUAUUCAUCACUGUGUAGUACAUACGUAGCUCAGUAUCUUAGGUUUAAGCAUGAGAUUCGUUUUAGAAUCGGCGAGAAAAAAAUAGAAGUUGGAGUAAGUUGUUCGAUUAGACGUUCUUAACUUUGUUGCAACAGCUGUUAUGAGUGGAGAUUCUAGUCGGUUAAUAUUCUUGAGGCAACCAUGCUGUCAUAAAGUUGAUUGAUUAGUGGAUAUGAAUUCUGGGUGGCUAGGGGCACUGUGAGGAGCUAGGGACCAAGACAGACGAGGUUGAUUUGGCUUGAUCCUGCCAAAGAAAUUUACUUCUUCUGAAAAGACGGAAGCAUGUUUUUAGAAAGUUCAUGGUUAACUUUCCAAAUCGGAGAUUUAUAGCAAAGCAAAGAGACAGGUUGAAGAAUGAAUAAUUGAUAUAGCACAACCUUCUAGAUGAAGUGCUUUUGCAGGCUUACAAUGAAUGGAUAUUGAAGACCAUGGAAGAGUCCUCGAAUUUGUUGCAUCAUAAAUUGUUGGAACUCUGGAAUAAACAGAAAGAUGUGAAUGGGGAGGCAUACCUGCCUGCCAUAUACACCAACCCGAAGCUUUUGAGCGUUGUACAAAAGAAGUACUUGACAGGUUUACUUCAUGAUAGUCUCGGAUUUUGUUCGGUCAGAAUCAUCAGGAAGGCUUUUAGGUGAGGUCAAUUAUAUACUGAAGAGCAUGCACCUGUGUUGGCGACGAGCUCAUCAGCGCAGCCGUGGACGGGCGCCUCGGCGGUUGCACAUGUGAGGGCGAAGAGCUCGUCGUUGUGGCCGUCGUCAGGUGACUCGGCGGAUGCACUUGUGCUGGCGAAGAGCACGUCGUCGCGGUCAUCGUCCGAUGCCUCGGCGUCUGUGCAGGGCAGCGAGCAAUGAUGGCGCACGUCAAGCCGGAUGCCUGGAUUGAUUCCCCCCUAAUUUAGCAGAUUUAUUUUUGUAUAGUUGAGCAAGUCCAUGCGAAUUGGACGUGCUGUUUCCUUGUGCGGGCAUGGGAUCCGUACUAAAGUGGCAUAUUGUGCGGCGGCUUCUUUGUGUGAGGUAGAUGGUGGGAGAAGUAGAACGUGGGCGUCUGCCCUAGAAGAACAUUUAAUCCUGAGCGUUGAUUGGUGUGGUAGACCUUUGAUGUAAUAUAGAACAUUGGAUGUGAUUUAGUGGGAUUGAUCAAACGUCUCUGGUACUUCUGUGUACA